AUUGAACGCUGGCGGCAGGCCUAACACAUGCAAGUCGAACGGUAACAGGAAGAAGCUUGCUUCUUUGCUGACGAGUGGCGGACGGGUGAGUAAUGUCUGGGAAACUGCCUGAUGGAGGGGGAUAACUACUGGAAACGGUAGCUAAUACCGCAUAACGUCGCAAGACCAAAGAGGGGGACCUUCGGGCCGCUUGCCAUCGGAUGUGCCCAGGUGGGAUUGGCUAGUGGGGGGGGUAACGGCUCACCUAGGCGACGAUCCCUAGCUGGUCUGAGAGGAUGACCAGCCACACUGGAACUGAGACACGGUCCAGACUCCUACGGGAGGCAGCAGUGGGGAAUAUUGCACAAUGGGCGCAAGCCUGAUGCAGCCAUGCCGCGUGUAUGAAGAAGGCCUUCGGGUUGUAAAGUACUUUCAGCGGGGAGGAAGGGAGUAAAGUUAAUACCUUUGCUCAUUGACGUUACCCGCAGAAGAAGCACCGGCUAACUCCGUG
This 490-nucleotide ribosomal RNA is filed under the name uncultured bacterium. RNAcentral describes it as "partial 16S ribosomal RNA". It matches the Rfam family "Bacterial small subunit ribosomal RNA", at positions 30 to 507 of the family's 1533-position model. The record is from RNAcentral.